UCCGGCGUAAUCACCGGCCAGUCCGAUCCGAACAGCAUCUUGUCCUGCAAAAUGGUGUUGACGUAGCGCACCAGGAUCGGCGGGAAAUAUUUCGGCGACCAGCCGGAGAGGUCGAUGUAGACGUUCGGCUUGUGGGUUGCGACCGACAGCGCUUCUUCCUGCCAGGGAAAGGACGGAUGCGCGAGAAUGAUCUUCAUGUCGGGGAAAUCAACCGCGACAUCGUCGAUGUACAUCGGGUUGGAAUAUUUCAGCCGCAUCCCGUUGCCGCC
RNAcentral lists this unclassified non-coding RNA (269 nucleotides) under Hevea brasiliensis (rubber tree). Lineage: Eukaryota; Viridiplantae; Streptophyta; Magnoliopsida; Malpighiales; Euphorbiaceae. The record is from RNAcentral.